AUUGAACGCUGGCGGAAGGCCUAACACAUGCAAGUCGAGCGGAGCGGCGGACGGGUGAGGAAUGCCUAGGAAUCUGCCUGGUAGUGGGGGAUAACGUCCGGAAACGGGCGCUAAUACCGCAUACUAUCAGAAGAGCCUAGGUCGGAUUAGCUAGUGGGGGUGGGAAAGCCCUACCAAGGCGACGAUCCGGAACUGGUCUGAGCGGAUGAUCAGUCACACUGGAACUGAGACACGGUCCAGACUCCUACGGGAGGCAGCAGUGGGGAAUAUUGCACAAUGGGCGAAAGCCUGAUCCAGCCAUGCCGCUUGUGUGAAGAAGGUCUUCGGAUUGUAAAGCACUUUAAGUUGGGAGGCGUUACCAACAGAAUAAGCACCGGCUAACUCCGUGCCAGCAGCCGCGGUAAUAC
This 407-nucleotide ribosomal RNA is filed under the name uncultured bacterium. RNAcentral's name for it is "partial 16S ribosomal RNA". It matches the Rfam family "Bacterial small subunit ribosomal RNA", at positions 30 to 526 of the family's 1533-position model. The record is from RNAcentral.